This is a non-coding RNA of Monodelphis domestica (gray short-tailed opossum), 3418 nucleotides long. The record is from the annotation of a RefSeq genome assembly. Lineage: Eukaryota; Metazoa; Chordata; Mammalia; Didelphimorphia; Didelphidae.
ACUUCAGGUGUCACAGCUCUUGGCUUGUCUCAACCAUGGCUCUGAUUUCUCUCCUUCUUCCUUUCCUCACUGUUGUCACAGGUUCUCUGGCCUCCUAUGUGCUGACCCAGAUUCCCUCCAUGUCUGUGGCUCUGGGGCAAACAGUCACCAUCACCUGUGCAGGAGAUCAGCUGGAUGAUAAGUAUGCUCAUUGGUACCAGCAGAAAAGGAGCCAGACUCCUCCUAAGCUUGUCAUUUACGAGGACAAGGAAAGACCAGAGGGCAUCUCUGACCGAUUCUCAGGCUCCAGCAGCAACAAGGUGGCCACAUUAACCAUCUCUGGGGUCCAGGCUGAAGAUGAGUCUGAUUACUACUGUCUGUCAGUUGAUGGUAAUACCAAAGCUCACAAUGAUGUAAAGAGAUGAGGAAGUGAGACAAAAACCUUUGUCUGACCUCUACCUCCGCUUGGGCUUCUCUGUUUCAUUUCCUUUCUACUGUUGGGCCCAGGGAGGGCCUACAGGGAGCUCCAUACUCUCUGUUCUAUGCCUUCUCCUUUAAAGAUAACUCCCUCAUUGCUCAAACACAGACCUUUUCUUUUCAUCCAAGGCCUUGAUCCACCAACUCCCUUAGGCUAUAGGGGAUCUGGUCUUAGAUGUGGCCUUGGACCCUGUGUAAAUGGAAUUAUCCUCCUUCAUUUAUUUUAACUUAAUCAAGAACUUGGAGUAUUCCUCCUUUCACACUUAGUUAACAUUUUUUGGAAAAGGAAAUUCACACCCUGAAAGACUGGAAGUGGGUCCCACAAGCACCCCCCACCCGAACCCCAGGCAGUGCCAGGCAAAUUCAGAAACUAUGAUUGGUUCUGAGAUGUGAUAGACCAGCGCAUAGUGAAAGGAAAUAGAAACCAGAGAGAUAGGAAGUGACAUGGGAAAAGGAUUAUAAAAGGUGAGACUGGACAGCUGAACAGGGACUUCCAUGUUGGAGGGAUUCUGCUGCAUUGGUUUCUCUGUGUUGGGUUUCAUUCUGUGUUGGUUGCUCGAGGAGUUUGGCUUUGGUGAUUUGCUUGGGUUAAGGACACCCUGGCCAAAGACACUGGCCUUCUCCUGCUCUUCUCCUGUCUUUGGUGUGAUGUUCUCUUUGGUGAAGCUCAGUCUUUGCAGCAUCAGACUCUUGUGGGCUGGUGAGAUUCACAUUCAGGUUUGCACUGGUGGUCUGGAGGCACUUGGAUUGGGACUUACGGUAUUUAGCUAGGCAAUGUUCUCUACCUCCUUUCUAUAUUUCUCUCUCUUUACUGUCUCUACUUUUGCUGUAAUAAAGCUACUAAAGCUAGUAAGAUACUCAUAGUUUAAUUUUAAAUUAUUUUAAAUGGUGACCACAACUUUUUAGAACUGUUAAUUUGACCAAAACCCAUUGUAAUUCUUACUACCCUGCUCUCACUCAGGUUUCCUAGGCCUGCUGCCUCUGAUCAGAGUCCAGAGCAAGGAGACCUGACCUCUGAUGGUGGAGGUGGCAAUGAGGAGAGAGCUAAGGAUCUGAAUUAGUCUGGUCCUCAAUGUCUUCCUAUAUAAGCUUUCCAUGAUGACAGAGGCAAACAUUGAGUCAGCAAACAUUUAUUUAGAGCUUACUUUGUGCCAGACCCUGUGGUGAUCCCUGGGGGUACAGAGGCAAAAAGGAAACAGUCUGUUCACUCAGGGAGCUCCCAACCUACUAGUGGAAAAGCAGGAUGUGCACAGAUGAAUACAGAAUAUUUAUAAAGAAAACCCAGAGUUAUUUCAGGGUAGGGCAUUAACCACUAUGGCAAUAAGGAAAGACUUGUAGUAAGAAGUGACACUUGGACAGAGCACUGAAAGGUACUUGGACCUCUUGGACCUGGUAAGCAGAAGAGAACUGGAAGAUGAUAGCCUAAGCAAAGAGAGAGACAAGAGGGGAAAGGCCACACAGGCUGGCAAUAGAAAGUUGACCAGUUCAUCUAAAAGGAAGAAUGUUUGAGGCUGGAUGGUGUGGAAUGGCUCUGAUAUGGGAGACUGAAGAGAGAGCAUGAAUGGAUCUAAUGUAAAUAUUUUUCCCUAGAAGUAAUAGAGAACCUCUUAAGAAGAGGUUAAGAAGACUCUUAGAGUUAAGUCACUCUUCUUAAGAAGAAGAGUGACAUGUAUCAGGAUCCUUUCCUGAUCCCCUCCUCCCAAGGGUACAGUGUUUUCCCCAGAAUCUUCCCUGACUGCAGGAUGGAUAGAGAAGUGAGGCAUUGCCCUGGGAGGGUAAUGAGAAGGCUAAAUCUGAGACCGAGCGAGAUUAGCCAGGAGAGUAGAGGAUAAGGAAUUAGAGGAGAUUUUAAACAUUUUGUUGGUACAUUUCGUUUCAACAUUGCAAAUAUUUUCUGACUGCUAUCCACUCCAUGAGAGCUCUCUUGUUAAUAAUGUAAAGUAACUAAUUAAAGUGACCUCAUUAGACAAUGAAAUCAACAUCAUGGAACUCAUCACUUCUCUAUUGAAAAAGGUUCAAGAAAUGUCUAUUAUCUCUCCUUCCUAACCCUUUGAAAAGUAAGAGAAAAACCAAUUUCUUGUAACAAAUAUGACUAGUCAAGCAAAACAAUUAUAUUUCCUGCUGUUUUAUCAUUGGCUGUACGUAUGUUGGGGUUUCUGUGUGCCUCAUUCUGCUUCCUAAACCUAUCACCUCUCUGCCAUGGAGAGCAUAUCUUACUCUCAAGUGAGAUUACAAAAUGGGAUUACAAAUCACCAUUGUACAGAUGAUAAUUGUUUUAGUUUUCAGAAUUCUUUGUCUUUCCUGUUGUCACAAUAUAUAAUACUCUACUGGUUCUCCUCAAAGGCCAAAGGGAGGAGCCAUUUUGCCCCCAUUUCUGUGAAUGAUUCCCUCCUCCAGCACUACCUUAAGGCCUUUCAUCUCUCUGAUGAUGACCCAACACAGAUUUAUGCCAGGAGAUUGCCUGAAGGUUUGCAGCUGGUGGAACUGUGCUAAUUACUUUACAAAUAAUAAUUAAAAAAAUUAAUGCUUUUACUUGGGCUCCAUCAUGGAGGGGCUAUAAAGCAAUUAUUAAAGACUUUGUUUUUGUUGGUACUUGGCUCACUAGUGGAAAUGCAAAUAAACGUAAACAAGAUAGCCUCUAUCUUCAAGAAGCUGGUAUUCUGUUGAUGAAUUAAAUACAUAAAGGAAUGGUGGUGGUGGGGGAACAGAGAAUCAUGGAGCAGCUGCUAUAAUUUGGACAUGUGGAAGGUCUCUGAUCCUAGGCAGAAGUGGACAAGGGCUCACCUGAAAGGGAGCAGAGUGUCUCCAGGGCACAUGGAAUGGGAAGGUUGAGUAUGAGAAUAUAAAAGAUCAAGGGGUGGAGGGGAUCCCAUCUUCUGGGCGAAAAGGAGAAAUAAUUGGAGAAAAACAGGAAAGAUUUUGUUGAAAAAAUUGUUGAAAGUUGAAAGGACCUUCCCAGGGA